This 426-nucleotide ribosomal RNA is filed under the name Edentulina dussumieri. RNAcentral describes it as "partial 16S ribosomal RNA". It matches the Rfam family "Archaeal large subunit ribosomal RNA", at positions 1920 to 2642 of the family's 2987-position model. The record is from RNAcentral. Lineage: Eukaryota; Metazoa; Mollusca; Gastropoda; Stylommatophora; Streptaxidae.
AGCUUGAAGAUCUUUCUACUUCAAGUCAUACCUGCCCAGUGAGGAAAAAUCUCUUUAACGGCCGCAGUACUUUGACUGUGCUAAGGUAGCAUAAUCACUUGUCUUCUAAUUAAAGACUGGAAUGAAUGGAUAUAUGGGGGAGAACUGUCUUUAAUAGAUUUCUUUGAAGUUACUGAGAAGGUGAAAAUUCCUUUAGUUUUGACAAAAGACGAGAAGACCCUAAGAAUUUUUAAAAAAGAGAUUAAUAACUGAUAUAUUUUUGUUGGGGCAACAUGGAGUCAUCUAUAAAUACUCUUUUAUUAACCUUAACAGACCAAAUAAAUUUUUCAUGAUAUAAAUUACCUUAGGGAUAACAGCGUAAUUUCUUGAGAAGGUUACGACCUCGAUGUUGGACUAGGAACUCUAGGUGGGAAACCAAAGAAGAUU